This is a long non-coding RNA of Vespula vulgaris, 2181 nucleotides long. RefSeq lists it as uncharacterized. The record is from RefSeq and is a predicted model, not a curated record. The transcript is spliced from 3 exons. NCBI's taxonomy places the organism in Eukaryota, Metazoa, Arthropoda, Insecta, Hymenoptera, Vespidae.
CGUUGCUAGGAUACGCCGAUGCGCCGUGCGAUCGGUCGAGGGGAGCACAACGCUGGACCACACACGCGGUACCAUUUUCCCUCGAGCAAUAACAUUACCCACACAGAGACGCGCCUCCUUACGCGACACGCACGAGGGCGCGGGGAUCGCUGCGGUCUUCUCGGUUCUCUCUCUCUCUCUCUCGCUCUCGCUCAUACCUCGUCUCUUUCCCUCUCUUUCUCAUCUUUUCCUAUUCUCCUCUCGUUCUUUCUACCCUCUCCGUCGUUCCCUUCUACCGCACCGUUCUGAAAGCUUUAUAUACGCACCGCGUCUCACGCGGCGUAUCCUAGAACGAGGAAGAUAGAGAUAGAAAGGGUUAGGAACAGGAUCCAAGAAAGAAAGAGAGAGAGAGAGAGAGAGAGAGAGAGAGAGAGAGAGAGAGAUAGUCCACUAAUUCAUCGGACCUUAACAAGAACCUGGCCGAAAUCCUUUAAUCAAGAUCGUCUACCGGAAAUGAGACAAUUCCUAAAGACGAUGCCACGACUUCAUAUGUGUCCGGUCGAGACAGCAGUCUACUCGCUAAGAUAAAAGAAUGGAAGGGGGAAAAGGACAGGAUGAUGGAAACAUUCGUUGAUACCGCGUGGUCUACCUUUGAUCCACCCCAAGACGGCUCUUCUCUUGCACCGGGCACCGGCGGAUCGCCGACGAGGCACCGUGUGGAGCGACCGUUAAUAAUUUUUACGACACUCUUAACUCGCCACCCGGUAUUAAGCGGUCCACCAGAGAAGACGGCCUUUUGAUCUUUGCCGACGCGGUAUCGACUUAAUGAGUGCGAGAGGGAGAUAGCGGGUGUUCGAGACUCGCGCUCGUUGAAGAUCGUUGAACCAAGGAGAAGGGAUGCGGGAUAGAUCGUGAUGACUACAAGGAGAAAGCGAGCGAAAGAGAGAGAGAGAGAGAGAGAGAGUGAGAGAGAGAGAGAGAGAGAGAGAGAGAGAGAGAAAGGGCGACACGACGCGUGUGGUCCAGGCCGAUGGUAGACGACGAGCAAGACGGGACCUGGACGACGACAGCAUCUUAUCCGAGAGGUACGGAUCGAUUGAUCAAUGGCGAAAUCGAUGCUUUCUUGGUUCGAGACUGAUCGAGUCCGCUCCGUGGUACGCUCGGGCGCACAAGUAUUUUUCACCCUACCGCGAAGACGAACAUGCCCAACUCAAGUGGACUCUCGAGGGAUCGGGGAAGAUCAUCGAAUUUUCGACGAACUAGAUCGAUCGAAUCGCUUGAUCCAAAAAAGGAAAAAACUUCGAAGAGGUAAGAUGUGGUUUUUCUUGUUUUUUUCUUUCUUUUUUUUUUUAAUUUAUCUCUUAUAUUUACUUUUCAUUUUUAUCAACAUUUUCUUUUUUUUCAUUUCGUUUUACUUUGCUCUCCUUCUUUUCUAUCAUCCGAGGAUUUGAUCUAUAAUGAUCGAUUUCGUACGGAUCGAUGAUCGAUGAAUAUCGAUAGAAGAAUAAGAAGGACGCGAAUCGAAUUUAUAUCUUUGAGACCUGGCGACAUCUAUCGUCGUGUUCGAAAAGCUAAUUACACUAGCGUCUAAUUGAAAAUCCUUUCGUUAUCGAUAAUCUUACGUGCGAUAUUGUAGGAUAGAAAAAUCAAAAAAAAAUAAAAAAAAGUAAAAAGAAAAUAAAAAAUAAAAAAGAAUAAAAAGGAAGAAGAAAAUAAAAAUAAAAAGGGAGGGGUGGGAGUGGGAGGAAAAAAUUAUAAUAAUAAUAAUAAUAAUAAUAAUGAAAAGGACAAAAAAGAAAAAUAAAAUAAAAUAAAAUAAAAUAUAGAAAGAGAUACUACUAUUUGGCAGGAAGUGUAGAAUACACGUGAGGAAUAAAUACGGAAGGAAAAAGAGAAAGAGAAAGAGAAAGAGAAAGAGAGGGGGUAGAGAGUGGGUCCGGCACGGUCUAAUGCUAAUGCAGCUACCAUUAGCAAGUAGUGAAUCGAAUGUAAAGUCGGACAUAAGGUGGGACCACACAGGUCGUCGAGGGAGGUUUAUACGGGGCCAGCAGAUGCAGUGCCCCAUAAACAGCGGGGCAGGACCACCCAACGUGCUUGUUCCUUCGUUUCGUUCCUUCGUCUGUUUCCUUCAUAACCACGAUAGCCUGCCCCCUUCUCUUUCCUGUAUCUGUGAAAGGGUAUAAUACGAGGAACGAGUAUGCG